Molecule: ribosomal RNA, 720 nt
Filed under: uncultured cyanobacterium
Lineage: Bacteria; Bacillati; Cyanobacteriota
Description: bacterial SSU rRNA
Rfam family: Bacterial small subunit ribosomal RNA
Source: RNAcentral
ACAUGCAAGUCGAACGAACCUUCGGGUUAGUGGCGGACGGGUGAGUAACGCGUGGGAAUCUGCCCUCAGGAGGGGGAUAACGGUUGGAAACGACCGCUAAUACCCCAUAUGCCGAGAGGUGAAAUGAAUUUCGCCUGAGGAUGAGCCCGCGUCUGAUUAGCUUGUUGGUGAGGUAAUGGCUCACCAAGGCAUCGAUCAGUAGCUGGUCUGAGAGGAUGAUCAGCCACACUGGGACUGAGACACGGCCCAGACUCCUACGGGAGGCAGCAGUGGGGAAUUUUCCGCAAUGGGCGAAAGCCUGACGGAGCAACGCCGCGUGAGGGACGAAGGCCUCUGGGCUGUAAACCUCUUUUCUCAAGGAAGAAGAUAUGACGGUACUUGAGGAAUAAGCCACGGCUAAUUCCGUGCCAGCAGCCGCGGUAAUACGGGAGUGGCAAGCGUUAUCCGGAAUUAUUGGGCGUAAAGCGUCCGCAGGCGGCCCUUCAAGUCUGCUGUUAAAGCGUGGAGCUUAACUCCAUCAUGGCAGUGGAAACUGAUUGGCUUGAGUAUGGUAGGGGCAGAGGGAAUUCCCGGUGUAGCGGUGAAAUGCGUAGAUAUCGGGAAGAACACCAGUGGCGAAGGCGCUCUGCUGGGCCAUUACUGACGCUCAUGGACGAAAGCCAGGGGAGCGAAAGGGAUUAGAUACCCCUGUAGUCCUGGCCGUAAACGAUGAACACUAGG